GUGAAAUAGAACCUGAAACCCUAUGCCUACAAGGUGUUAGAGCCCUUUCGAGGGUGAUAGCGUGCCUUUUGCUUAAUGAGUCUGCGAGUUACCGUCUGUGGCAAGCUUAAGAUCUUCUGGAUCGUAGGCGUAGCGAAAGCAAGUCCGAAUAGGGCGAUCCUAGUUGCAGGCGGUAGACCCGAAACGGAGGUGACCUACCCAUGGCCAGGUUGAAGCUUAGGUGAUACUAAGUGGAGGACCGAACCGGUGUG
This 251-nucleotide ribosomal RNA is filed under the name Schmidingerella taraikaensis. Its description in RNAcentral is "partial Bacterial large subunit ribosomal RNA". It matches the Rfam family "Bacterial large subunit ribosomal RNA", at positions 538 to 786 of the family's 2925-position model. The record is from RNAcentral. Lineage: Eukaryota; Ciliophora; Spirotrichea; Tintinnida; Rhabdonellidae.